AGGAUUAACGUUGGCGGCGUGCAUAACACAUGCAAGUUGAGCGUGGCUUUGGAUUUAUUCAAAGUCUAGCAGCGGACGGCUGAGUAAUGCACAGGAACGUACCUCGAAGUGGGGCAUAGCCCAUCGAAAGAUGGGGUAAUACCGCAUGUGGUGGAAACACUAAAGCCGCAAGGCGCUACGAGAACGGCCUGUGUCCUAUCAGAUAGUUGGUGGGGUAAUGGCCUACCAAGUCUAUGACGGGUAGCUGGUCUGAGAGGAUGACCAGCCAGAUCGGGACUGAGACACGGCCCGAACUCCUACGGGAGGCAGCAGUUGGGAAUUUUGCGCAAUGGACGAAAGUCUGACGCAGCGACGCCGCGUGCAGGAUGAAGGCCUUAGGGUCGUAAACUGCUUUUGCGAGGGAGUAAUUUUGAAGUACCUCGAGAAUAAGCACCGGCUAACUCCGCGCCAGCAGCCGCGGUAA
This 463-nucleotide ribosomal RNA is filed under the name uncultured bacterium. Its description in RNAcentral is "SSU rRNA". It matches the Rfam family "Bacterial small subunit ribosomal RNA", at positions 26 to 523 of the family's 1533-position model. The record is from RNAcentral.